CAUUAAAAAUUUCAUCUAUUUAUAUUGUUAAAAGUUAACGUGUUAUUUAACGUGUUAUUGGAAUAAUCAAAUAGUGACAUGUGACGUGCCACGUGUACCUCAUGCUAACGUACAAGGAUCAAUUUUUAACAGUAGAAAUGAAUGAACUUUUUAACA
Non-coding RNA from Gossypium hirsutum (cotton), 156 nucleotides. Lineage: Eukaryota; Viridiplantae; Streptophyta; Magnoliopsida; Malvales; Malvaceae. The record is from Rfam.